Molecule: small nuclear RNA, 141 nt
Organism: Capra hircus (goat)
Lineage: Eukaryota; Metazoa; Chordata; Mammalia; Artiodactyla; Bovidae
Gene: U4
Rfam family: U4 spliceosomal RNA
About the family: U4 small nuclear RNA (U4 snRNA) is a component of the major U2-dependent spliceosome. The structure of U4 snRNA from yeast and human has been reported. U4 snRNA presents a k-turn RNA motif in the 5p-SL related to recognition of Snu13 protein.
Source: Ensembl
AGCUUUGUGCAGUGGCAGUAUCAUAGCCAAUGAUGUUUAUCCGAGGCAUGAUUAUUACUAAUUGAAAACUUUUCCCAAUACCCCACCAUGACGACUUGAAAUAUAGUUGGCAUUGGCAAUUUUUGAUAGUCUCCAUAGAGA